AUUCAUGCGAGUACAGUGGUAAUAGGGAGCUUGCUCUGCUGUCGACCGGCGCACGGGUGCGUCACGCGUAUAGAACCUACCUUUUACAGGGGAAUAGCCUUUAGAAAUGAAGAUUAAUGCCCCAUAGUAUUGUAGACUGGCAUCAGUUUACAAUUAAAGAUUUAUCGGUAAAAGAUGGCUAUGCGUCCUAUUAGUUAGUUGGUAAGGUAACGGCUUACCAAGACAUCGAUAGGUAGGGGUCCUGAGAGGGAGAUCCCCCACACUGGUACUGAGACACGGACCAGAUUUAUACGGGAGGCAGCAGUGAGGAAUAUUGGGCAAUGGAGGAGACUCUGACCCAGCCAUGCCGCGUGUAGGAAGAAUGCCCUAUGGGUUGUAAACUACUUUUAUA
This 391-nucleotide ribosomal RNA is filed under the name uncultured Bacteroidota bacterium. Its description in RNAcentral is "bacterial SSU rRNA". It matches the Rfam family "Bacterial small subunit ribosomal RNA", at positions 51 to 440 of the family's 1533-position model. The record is from RNAcentral. Lineage: Bacteria; Pseudomonadati; Bacteroidota.